Myotis davidii is the source of this 1318-nucleotide long non-coding RNA. RefSeq lists it as uncharacterized. The transcript is spliced from 2 exons. The record is from RefSeq and is a predicted model, not a curated record. Lineage: Eukaryota; Metazoa; Chordata; Mammalia; Chiroptera; Vespertilionidae.
UAGUCAAUUGAAUCCAGGUUGCCUUCCUCCCUAUCCUUUUUCCAUGAACGCAUCUCAGCACGCCCACCUCUGCUGCUAUUUCUCCUUUAACCUAAUACUAAAGCAUUGCCUUCCGGAAGGGCAGAGACGGGCACACUCGAUCCUUGGGAGCCACAGGACCGUCUAGUUCUCCUCUCUCCCCAGAAAGAGUUACGCAGCCCCGGCUACUCGCCAGCGCCCCCGCUCGGACCCAGCCUCACCAGCCCCGGGGCCCGGGGCCCGCCACGCUCACAGCGCCCUCAGGCAUCGCGCUCGGCGAUUUCAGCUCCGCGGCCGCAGCGGCGGCAGCAGCUAUGGCGGCACAAGCGGCUCAAAACGCGAAGUAGCGCCGAGGCCCAGCUCCCGCCGAGGCAGGCGGAGCGGAGGCGAGAGGGUGCGGUCUGCAGCCGAGGGCGUUCCUGGAGCGAACGAAUAAGGUGUGUGGGGCGGAGCCCGUGGGCGGGCCAGGAGGCCGGGACCUGUGACUCGAGAACCGCGAUCCCGCACGUCGUCGUGGCGGGUAUCCCUCCCGGAGAAAGGUCGGCACAGCUCGGCUUCGGACUGGAAAGAGCCAGGCCUUUUAUGGUGUGAGAAGGCCUGGUUCCCCGGGAAAGUGCACUCCCCAGGGCCCCAAGACGGCAACUACGCCCCAGCGGUGUCAAGGUUGGCAUCUGAUAGGCCCGAAGGACCGGAACCGAAACGAACUCCUCGCUCAGAAUUACAGAACUGCGACACAGCCAGAGGCUCUGCUCCGCGUCGACCCCAAGCGCUGGUACUCCGAGCGGUUACAAUAGUUGUUCGCCGCCACCCGGCGCGUUAACCUACGUGGAGAUGACUCUGGAGCAGCGGUCGCCAACCGGUGGUCCGCGGAACACCGGGGGUCCCUGAGGUCCGAAAGGUUGGCGACCGCUGCUAAAGUUUCCGAUUGCUAAGAAGUGUUACUAAUUGGGCAACCUAAUUGGCCAUGUUGGGAGAAAGGGGAGGAAGAGGAUUGCCUUGGAUAGAGCGUUAGGCAUGUGGAGGAGGAAAAAGGAAAGUGUAUGUUCCUAUGAGAGAUUUGUUUCAAGGUUUCUUUAACCUUCCAGGUCCCAUCGCGCUCUCACCCCGCGUUAACCAGGACUUUUGUUGCUCCAGUGCUUUUCCUUAUUCCUAUCAAAAUCCACUCGUAAACUUUUCCCCUAUUAUUGUACUACUUUUGUGAGGUCACUGUCAAGCUUGCUAACUAGUUGUAGUAGAGUUUUAGCUUUUGCUCAUGGGAGUUGAGGGCGUGCACAGAAAAUAACUUUACAGUAUUAUUCCA